RNAcentral lists this small nucleolar RNA (93 nucleotides) under Triticum dicoccoides. RNAcentral's name for it is "snoRNA snosnR60_Z15". It matches the Rfam family "Small nucleolar RNA snR60/Z15/Z230/Z193/J17". From Rfam's summary of the family: The members of this family belong to the C/D class of snoRNAs which contain the C (UGAUGA) and D (CUGA) box motifs. Most of the members of the box C/D family function in directing site-specific 2'-O-methylation of substrate RNAs. The record is from RNAcentral. Lineage: Eukaryota; Viridiplantae; Streptophyta; Magnoliopsida; Poales; Poaceae.
CAAGUUCGGGUGAUGAUUACAAAUGCAUACUUGAGAUGACCAAACUGUGCUUAGUUGAACAAAAUAGUCUUUCGCUCCUAGCUGACGACCUUU